AUUGAACGCUGGCGGCAGGCCUAACACAUGCAAGUCGAGCGGCAGCGGGAAAGUAGCUUGCUACUUUUGCCGGCGAGCGGCGGACGGGUGAGUAAUGCCUGGGAAAUUGCCCAGUCGAGGGGGAUAACAGUUGGAAACGACUGCUAAUACCGCAUACGCCCUACGGGGGAAAGCAGGGGACCUUCGGGACUUGCGCGAUUGGAUAUGCCCAGGUGGGAUUAGCUAGUUGGUGAGGUAAUGGCUCACCAAGGCGACGAUCCCAAGCUGGUCUGAGAGGAUGAUCAGCCACACUGGAACUGAGACACGGUCCAGACUCCUACGGGAGGCAGCAGUGGGGAAUAUUGCACAAUGGGGGAAACCCUGAUGCAGCCAUGCCGCGUGUGUGAAGAAGGCCUUCGGGUUGUAAAGCACUUUCAGCGAGGAGGAAAGGUUGAUGCCUAAUACGUAUCAACUGUGACGUUACUCGCAGAAGAAGCACCGGCUAACUCUGUGCCAGCAGCCGCCGUAA
Molecule: ribosomal RNA, 508 nt
Filed under: uncultured bacterium
Lineage: Bacteria
Description: partial 16S ribosomal RNA
Rfam family: Bacterial small subunit ribosomal RNA
Source: RNAcentral